RNAcentral lists this transfer RNA (84 nucleotides) under Candidatus Latescibacterota bacterium. Its description in RNAcentral is "tRNA-Leu". It matches the Rfam family "tRNA". From Rfam's summary of the family: Transfer RNA (tRNA) molecules are approximately 80 nucleotides in length. Lineage: Bacteria; Pseudomonadati; Candidatus Latescibacterota. The record is from RNAcentral.
GCGGGAGUGGCGGAAUUGGUAGACGCGCUAGAUUUAGGAUCUAGUGUCUGAAAAGGCUUGGGGGUUCGAGUCCCCCCUCCCGCA